RNAcentral lists this ribosomal RNA (251 nucleotides) under uncultured prokaryote. RNAcentral describes it as "partial 16S rRNA". It matches the Rfam family "Bacterial small subunit ribosomal RNA", at positions 525 to 775 of the family's 1533-position model. The record is from RNAcentral.
ACGUAGGCAGCAAGCGUUGUUCGGAAUUACUGGGCGUAAAGAGUGCGUAGGCGGUUUGGCAAGUUUGGUGUGAAAUCUCCCGGCUUAACUGGGAGGGUGCGCCGAAAACUGCCAGGCUAGAGUGUGGGAGAGGAAAGUGGAAUUCCUGGUGUAGCGGUGAAAUGCGUAGAUAUCAGGAGGAACACCUGCGGUGUAGACGGCUUUCUGGACCACUACUGACGCUGAGGCACGAAAGCGUGGGGAGCAAACAG